UACGGAAGGCAGCAGUGGGGAAUAUUGCACAAUGGGCGCAAGCCUGAUGCAGCAACGCCGCGUGAGGGACGACGGCCUUCGGGUUGUAAACCUCUUUUAGUAGGGAAGAAGCGAAAGUGACGGUACCUGCAGAAAAGCACCGGCUAACUACGUGCCAGCAGCCGCGGUAAUACGUAGGGUGCAAGCGUUAUCCGGAAUUAUUGGGCGUAAAGAGCUCGUAGGCGGUUUGUCGCGUCUGCUGUGAAAACUGGAGGCUCAACCUCCAGCCUGCAGUGGGUACGGGCAAACUAGAGUGCGGUAGGGGAGAUUGGAAUUCCUGGUGUAGCGGUGGAAUGCGCAGAUAUCAGGAGGAACACCGGAUGGCGAAGGCAGAUCUCUGGGCCGUAAACUGACGCUGAGGAGCGAAAGCAUGGGGAGCGAACAGGGAUUAGAUACC
RNAcentral lists this ribosomal RNA (436 nucleotides) under uncultured bacterium. Its description in RNAcentral is "bacterial SSU rRNA". It matches the Rfam family "Bacterial small subunit ribosomal RNA", at positions 340 to 786 of the family's 1533-position model. The record is from RNAcentral.